This 206-nucleotide unclassified non-coding RNA is filed under the name soil metagenome. RNAcentral describes it as "partial contains 5.8S ribosomal RNA, internal transcribed spacer 2, and large subunit ribosomal RNA". The record is from RNAcentral.
AACAAGGCGUACCUGCGGACCUGCGGAGGGAUCAUUACCGAGUGUGGUCCCAUAUAAGGGGCGCCUCCCGUCCUUUGCAGGGCCUUUAGGGGCUUUUUGACUUUGCUUCGGCGGGCUUGCCCCGCCGGAACACCCUCAAGAAAAUCUUUAUGAACCGUUUGUCUGAGUUGCUUGUGAAUAAAAACAAAACUUUCAACAACGGAUCU